CUUAGCACGUUGAAGAUACAAGUACACAGAACAUAUUAUAAACUAUUCUUCGGAAAUGAUUGUUAGCUUCAUGUAUUAAAAUUGACUUAUAAAUUGUAUACAGAACAUAUGAUUACAGAGAUUGUGUAAAGUCAAUAUGAAUAGAAUAUUGGUUUAUAUUGCUUUCAUUGUAUUAAUUGUGGAUAAAGCAUGUACAGCAUCUAAUUGUACGUCGUCUGUCUCAUGGAAUUUAACAACUUUGCCAGUAAGCUUUGGAAAAGACAUAAUUUUACGGUGCUUCAUUAAUAACACAAAGGUCGACAUUGAUUCACAGUCGAAAGUACGACAAUGGACAGGAGGCCAAAACUACGACAUGCUUUGUAUGGAUGGUGAUUGCAAAUAUCCAAAUAAAUAUGAAAUGAUAACACGAAAUACCGGUAAAGAUUUUGAAUUGGUAAUUCACAAUAUUAGUGAAUCAGAUUUGGACUACAAGUACACGUGUACCUGUGGAUUUGAUAGUUGCACUAAGAAUCUGUCUGUCGAACCAAAUCAUG
Long non-coding RNA from Mytilus trossulus (common blue mussel), 533 nucleotides. RefSeq lists it as uncharacterized. The record is from RefSeq and is a predicted model, not a curated record. The transcript has 3 exons. Lineage: Eukaryota; Metazoa; Mollusca; Bivalvia; Mytilida; Mytilidae.